This 300-nucleotide ribosomal RNA is filed under the name uncultured Pyrobaculum sp. RNAcentral's name for it is "bacterial SSU rRNA". It matches the Rfam family "Bacterial small subunit ribosomal RNA", at positions 496 to 795 of the family's 1533-position model. The record is from RNAcentral. Lineage: Archaea; Thermoproteati; Thermoproteota; Thermoprotei; Thermoproteales; Thermoproteaceae.
GCGAAUGCCGGGGCGGGGGCGGCGGUAAGACGGCUGGGUCAAGCAUUGAUCUGAAUGACUGGGCGGAAAGGGCGCGUUGGCGGCAAGAAAAGUCAGAUGGUAAAUUCCGGUGCUCAGCCCCGGAGCUGCAUUUGAAACUUUCUAGCUAGAGGUUGGUAAGGGAAAACGGAAUUCCACGUGUAGCGGUGAAAUGCGUAGAUAUGUGGAAGAACACCGGUGGUGAAGACGGUUUUCUGUGCCAAACCUGACGCUGAGGCGCGAAAGCUAGGGGAGCAAACAGGAUUAGAUACCCCAGUAGUC